GAGUUUGAUCGUGGCUCAGGACGAACGCUGGCGGCGUGCCUAAUACAUGCAAGUCGAACGAGAAAAUCUUACACCGGAUGCUUGCAUCCACCGUAAGAAUUUCGAGUGGCGGACGGGUGAGUAACACGUGGGUAACCUGCCCAAAAGAAGGGGAUAACAUUUGGAAACAAGUGCUAAUACCGUAUAACCAUGACAAGCGCAUGCUUGUGAUGUGAAAGAUGGUUCUGCUAUCGCUUUUGGAUGGACCCGCGGCGUAUUAACUAGUUGGUGAGGUAAAGGCUCACCAAGGUGACGAUACGUAGCCGAACUGAGAGGUUGAUCGGCCACAAUGGGACUGAGACACGGCCCAUACUCCUACGGGAGGCAGCAGUAGGGAAUCUUCCACAAUGGGCGCAAGCCUGAUGGAGCAACGCCGCGUGAAUGAAGAAGGUCUUCGGAUCGUAAAGUUCUGUUGUUAGAGAAGAACACGUGUGAGAGUAACUGUUCAUGCGUUGACGGUAU
Molecule: ribosomal RNA, 501 nt
Filed under: uncultured bacterium
Lineage: Bacteria
Description: bacterial SSU rRNA
Rfam family: Bacterial small subunit ribosomal RNA
Source: RNAcentral